Molecule: ribosomal RNA, 406 nt
Filed under: uncultured bacterium
Lineage: Bacteria
Description: partial 16S ribosomal RNA
Rfam family: Bacterial small subunit ribosomal RNA
Source: RNAcentral
AUUGCACGCAGGCGGCAAGCCUAACACAUGCACGUCUCACGAGUAGCUGACGUGUGAGUAAUGUCUGGGAAACUGCCUGAUGGAGGGGGAUAACUACUGGAAACGGUAGCUCAUACCGCAUACCAUCGGAUGUGCCCAGAUGGGAUUAGCUAGUAGGUGGGGUAAAGGCUCACCUAGGCGACGAUCCCUAGCUGGUCUGCGAGGAUGACCAGACACACUGGAACUGAGAAACGGUCCAGACUCCUACGGGAGGCAGCAGUGGGGAAUAUUGAACAAUGGGCGCAAGCCGGAUGCAGCCAUGCCGCGUGUAUGAAGAAGGCCUUCGGGUGGUAAAGUACUUUCAGCGGGGAGGCGUUACCCGCAGAAGAAGCACCGGCUAACUCCGUGCCAGCAGCCGCGGUAAUAC